This is a long non-coding RNA of Folsomia candida, 1462 nucleotides long. RefSeq lists it as uncharacterized. The transcript has 2 exons. NCBI's taxonomy places the organism in Eukaryota, Metazoa, Arthropoda, Collembola, Entomobryomorpha, Isotomidae. The record is from RefSeq and is a predicted model, not a curated record.
AGUACCGGGUUGGUUGGGUUUGGGUGGAAAAUGUUGGGAGAGAAAGUCCCAGUCUACUCAUGCUCCUUGCUUGGUUGGUGGCGAUAUUAGUCAAUGUUCGUACACUGCUCUGGAUGUUAAUAUGUUCCCAUUACUAACAAUUUGUCAAAAAGCAUUCCUAAUUUCGCAGAUUUUUUUCUGUGAAUUUAACAUUCAGUUCAGUCCAUCCAUGUCAAUAAGUAAGUAUGUACAUAAAUAAAUACUCCUCGCAAACUGGUAAAGCGACAUGUAUUUGCAUAAUAUGCAUUUAUUUAUACAAAUGUCCCAGUACAUACAUGCACACACAGAUGCGGUAUAUGUUUUCUUAUCCAAUUUGCAGGUGACUAUACUUCUUACUCGUUACAUUUUUGGCAACGAAGCCCACAUUUUUCAAAGUGCGAAAACUGACUGAAAUUAAUCUCGUGGUAUUCGGUCUCCUUUUUCUCAAAGGAGGAGAUUACUUCUUUUCAAUUCCGGAUUGCAGAACAAGGUUUCAAGGUACACAGCUUGGAAAGACUUCCCCAAACCUACAUACAAAAUCCUGACGCUUGGGCGAUGCAGAGAUUUUUCAAACACUUGCCAGCCCACGCGCAGGUCAUCUUUCUCAAUUUCUAAAUCAUCAACGCCUCCACCGACCUUAUUUUAUUAUCCUCCUUCCUGAAGAAUUUAAAAGAACUGGAAGAAUUUUAUGCAGAAAACACAAGACAUCAUAACCACCCCGGUUGACAUUCACUUAGCAGAUUUGCCCCACAAACGUCGACUCCUCCCAUCAGUAUCAUCCAUGAACUUAAUUCUUUCUCCUGCCAGAGAAGCAUCCUACCCGAGCAUUAAAGAAUUCGAUUUCGGAGCCCAAAACCCGUACGGAUGGCCUAAAAAGCGAGUGACAACUCUGAAUGAAAGCAUUUUCUUAAACUUUGCCAGGAUUUUUUCAUGAAUUGAAAAGGUGGGUGACUUUGAUGGGAUGGGGAGGAAUGGUACGUCAUUUUGAAAAGCAUUCUCCAAACCCGACCAUGAAAUGGAUCAUGGAAAAUUUUGAGAGACAAGUUAACGCCACAACUACAGUAAAACAACAGGAUGUCGUUGUAAUUAACUCUGAAAAUGAUGUUGCUGGUUAUAGUGCUUAUCUUACCGUGGAGAAUGCCCUUGAUAAAUUUGGUGUGUCUACUAAAAACGCGACCGAUUUCCUAAUUGAGGCGGAUACCGGAACAGGAAAACGAACGGGACGGGAGAUCACGCCAAUGGAAAAGUUAUGAUAUCGUUACACAAAUCUGGGCUGGUUCCCCCAUCGAUUCAAUUUGUCUACGUUCAGAUAAUCAUUGGUAAUGGAUGAAUUUUAGGGUAGGCGAAGGGUCAACAAAGGUGGUGGGCGUAGAAAUGGUGGACUAAUGUAAUUACCAAAUUUUACUUCGUAAUAAAUCUCCCAAUUUUCACGCAUUAAAUUUUA